ACACGGGAAAGGAGGUGGUCCGAGACAUGAUCUCUACUUGGACGCGUGAGGUGGCUGCCCGCUAGCAGUCCACGGACGGACCUGCCGGUCCCUCCGCCGACGGCGGCGAGAUCCCGGCAGUCACCGGCACCCGCGGGAGCCGUGGCUCGUCCACCACGGCACCCUGGCC
Molecule: small RNA, 169 nt
Filed under: uncultured Georgenia sp.
Lineage: Bacteria; Bacillati; Actinomycetota; Actinomycetes; Allobogoriellales; Allobogoriellaceae
Description: Actinobacteria sRNA Ms_IGR-5
Rfam family: Actinobacteria sRNA Ms_IGR-5 (bases 1-148)
Source: RNAcentral